AGAGUUUGAUCAUGGCUCAGAACGAACGCUGGCGGCGUGGAUAAGACAUGCAAGUCGGACGGGACUACUUUGAGUAGCAAUACCUGAAGUAGUUCAGUGGCGAACGGGUGCGUAACACGUGGACAAUCUGCCUUAAAGUGGGGGAUAGCUCGGCGAAAGCCGAAUUAAUACCGCAUGUGAUCAGGGAAGACAUCUUUCCGAAAUCAAAGCCGGGGCAACCUGGCGCUUUUUGAGGAGUCCGCGGCCUAUCAGCUAGUUGGUGAGGUAACGGCUCACCAAGGCUUUGACGGGUAGCUGGUCUGAGAGGACGACCAGCCACACUGGAACUGAGACACGGUCCAGACACCUACGGGUGGCAGCAGUCGAGAAUUUUUCUCAAUGGGGGAAACCCUGAAGGAGCGACGCCGCGUGGAGGAUGAAGGUCUUCGGGUUGUAAACUCCUGUCAUUUGGGAACAAGUUGCACACGUUAACUGCGUGGGCAUUGAUAGUACCAGAAGAGGAAGAGACGGCUAACUCUGUGCCAGCAGCCGCGGUAAUACAGAGGUCUCAAGCGUUGUUCGGAUUCAUUGGGCGUAAAGGGUGCGUAGGUGGCGCCGUAAGUGGGGUGUGAAAUUUCGGAGCUUAACUCCGAAACUGCAUUCCAUACUGCGGUGCUUGAGGACUGGAGAGGAGACUGGAAUUUACGGUGUAGCAGUGAAAUGCGUAGAGAUCGUAAGGAAGACCAGUGGCGAAGGCGGGUCUCUGGACAGUUCCUGACACUGAGGCACGAAGGCCAGGGGAGCAAACGGGAUUAGAUACCCNNGUAGUCC
RNAcentral lists this ribosomal RNA (810 nucleotides) under uncultured bacterium. Its description in RNAcentral is "bacterial SSU rRNA". It matches the Rfam family "Bacterial small subunit ribosomal RNA", at positions 8 to 796 of the family's 1533-position model. The record is from RNAcentral.